UGCCAGUACGUGGUCGCCACUCCAGGA
RNAcentral lists this small RNA (27 nucleotides) under Bombyx mori (domestic silkworm). Its description in RNAcentral is "ovarian small RNA-33686". Lineage: Eukaryota; Metazoa; Arthropoda; Insecta; Lepidoptera; Bombycidae. The record is from RNAcentral.